CUCUCUCGUCUCACUAAUGUGGAUUAACUCAGACAUGAUAAUCCCAACACAAUCCGUGUGUCUUCGGUCUCUUCUUUUAUCUGCUGGCUUUUUGUUGUCUUUAAUCUUUCUACCUUCCACUGAGUCUCUAACUGUGGACAUAGAAGUGUUUGAGUACAUCUGCUCUUCUGACACGAAGCUCCGCCCCUCUGCUCCUGGUUCAGGUUCUGGUGAACGGAAACAUCAACACCUACGUGAUAAAGGGACUGAGCCCCCUCACAGAGUACGAAGUCCUCCUCGCUGCCAUCUACGCCAACGAGGCGGAGAGCGACAAGGUCGCCCUCGUUGAGUCCACCGUGGAAAAAACGACCACCGUCGCUACAACGACCACCACCACAGCAACUCCUCGUUUCGGGUUCAGGAACAUGAGGAUCGAUGAGGAAACCACCUUCAGUAUGCGGGUGGCCUGGCAGCCCACGGACACCAGGAACGUCCGACACUAUCGACUGAGCUACGUCAGCGCCAAGGGAGACCGAGCAGAGGAGCAGGUA
Long non-coding RNA from Anarrhichthys ocellatus (wolf-eel), 530 nucleotides. RefSeq lists it as uncharacterized. The record is from RefSeq and is a predicted model, not a curated record. NCBI's taxonomy places the organism in Eukaryota, Metazoa, Chordata, Actinopteri, Perciformes, Anarhichadidae. The transcript has 3 exons.